This is an RNA transcript of Symphalangus syndactylus (siamang), 7674 nucleotides long. It is a transcript of the gene named solute carrier family 25 member 53, with no coding region annotated. The record is from RefSeq and is a predicted model, not a curated record. Lineage: Eukaryota; Metazoa; Chordata; Mammalia; Primates; Hylobatidae.
GGGAGCUCCGUUGUGCGUCGCUUAAGUGAGGGCGGCGGAUGGGCGAAGGUCCGGUGACUGCGACUGCCGCUGCUCUCCGAGGCCACAGGAAAGGGGCCGUCGGUCGCCGCCAUGACAGCGAGCGAGGCGGAGGAACCAUGUAAGAAGUCUGACUGCCCUGCUGGAGAAACCAAAUGGAGAGGUCCAGAGACAACAUGGAGAGAGAAUGCACAGCUCAGCUGAGCCCAGCUUUCCAGUUAUCCCCACCAAUGCACCACACAUAUGAAGGAAGUCAUCUUGGUCCCUCCAAAACAACCUAGCCAGCCAGCUGGAUACCACUGAGUGACCUCAGUAGAUGCCACAUGGGACAGAAGAAUUCUCUAGUGAGCUUUGCCCACAUUCCUUACCCACACAGUCAUGAGUAUAAUUAAAUGAUUAUUGUUUUAAGCCCCAAGUUUUGGGGUGGUUUACUACACAGCAGUAUAUAACUGGAACAUUGGGCACUGAAGUAGCGGAAACCAUACAUGCACAUUAUAUUUCUGUUAAACUUGGAAAAGGAAAGAUCUGAUGGAGUGGGAGGAUCACGUAAGAUCAAGGGAGAAUUUUUAUGAAGAUAACAGAGACUUGGGGGUGUGCAUAUGCUGAUGGGGAAGAGUUAGGAGAAAGAGAAUGUUGAAGAUAGAGGAGAGAGGAGAUGGCUGAUGCAUGAGGUUUAUGAGAAGGGAAGGGAAGGGAUGAGAUGCAGAAUUCUGCUGGACGGACUGAUCUUGCGUACAAGGAUAGUGGGAUGCUUUGCCUUGUAAAAUAGGAACUGUCUGCCCACCUCCUGUUCUUUAAAAAUGUCAAGCAUAUCCAUGUACUAGAGUCGAGAGAAUAUAUGAAGGUUAGUUGGACAGUACUGGAUCUCCUAAGAAUUGUUUGACUGAGGCCCUUUCUCUGGAUUGCUGACUCAACCCAGGCUGGAGUUAAGUGAUUGGAAUCCACACCCUUGGACCAGAAUCCAAGUUACCUUCUGCUAAAGCCAUACAUGCACAUUAAAACCACACUUCCACAGGGUCAGCUGGUCUGGGCUCAAUGGACUCUCAAAAUAAUACAGGGUUCCAUUACCUCUGACCCAGAGGUUCUCUCCAAGAGAAAGAGCUGUUGAUGUUACAAUUCUGUCUGUCACUGUCCCUGUUAUAGCAGGGAGUGCAUACUGGAUUAGUAUCCCCCAGAAGGAUGUAUGGUAGGUUGGGUUGGUGGUGGAUGGCAGUUUGUAUCAAAACGUCACUUGAACUUCACCUUUGACAGCUGCAGACUUCCGCGUGCUGAUCUUUGCCAGCUUUCUUUCAUCAAGUUUUACGGAAAGGGAUGGAUGUACUUACGAACUCUCAGUGGCUUCAUCCUGGCAGAGAACAGGAAUGCUGCUUGCUCUGUGAACUCUGCAGCCUCAGUGUCCUCAUUUGUGGUGACAGCUCCCUCAUAAGGUCAUUGUAAAGAUUUAAGGAGAUGCUGAAUGCCCAAGUCCUGCCUCCAGCAUAUGUGCUUUUCUCCUUAACUUCCCACUCAUUACCUCUUGGGCCUUGAGUUUUCAUCUGUGAACCCACAUAGGAUAAUAGUGGGACUGAUUUCCAAGGGGUUGUUGUGAGGAAUGGCUAUGAGAAUUCAAGUAAAGCACCAAAGAGACUGCCAGACACAGUAGGGGUACCAUAAGCAGUAGCUGUUAUUACGAUAUGAUUGUAGUGAGGUGAAACUAUAAUUUCUUCCUUUCACUGAGAGAAAACUCUCAAGCAGCUGGUCCAAAGAGCAUAAACAUCACAAGGCAAGUAGCAGGAUGUUGCUGAAGGUUUGGGACAGUGGAGAGGGUUUAUUUUAGCACAGCAGACAAUAUGAAAGAGAGUAUCAGAACCACGUACCUGCUAUGACCCAACUUUUAUAGAAAAAGAACAAGAAUAGAUAUGUUUGUGUUUGUGUAAAAGCAGAAGAACACACCCCAGACCAGACUGUGGGGAGCUGGGGAACUUUGACUUCUACUUAUUCCCCUUUCUAUUAUUAAACUUUCUGUUUGAAAGUUGUUUUUUGGGCCAGGUGUGGUGGCUCACGCCUGUAAUCCCAGCACUUUGGGAGGCUGAGGCGGGCAGAUCACUUGAGGUCAGGAGUUUGAGACCAGCCUGGCCAACAUGGCGAAAUCCCAUGUUUCUACUAAAAAUACAAAAAUUAGCUGGGCAUGGUGGUGUGUGCCUGUAAUCCCAGCUACUAGGGAGGCUGAGGCAAGAGAAUCGCUUGAAACCAGGAGGUGGGGGUUGCAGUGAGCCAAGAUAACGCCACUGCACUCCAGCCUGGGCAACAGUGAGACUUUGUCUCAAAAAUAAAAAAAAAGAAAAAGAUAGAAAAAAGUUAUCUCUUUUUAGUUGAGCAUGUGCUACACUAAAGAAUGUUACAAUACAUUUUUAAAUUGAAUUUAUUUUUUUUUUUGAGACAGGGUCUUGCUUUGUUGCCCAGGCUGGAGUGUAGUGGCAUGAUCAUAGCUCACUGCAGCCUCAACUUCCUGGGCUCAAGUGAUCCUCCUGCCUCAGCUCCCCGAGCAGCUAGGACUACAGGCAUGUGCCACUACGCCUGGCUAAUUUUUUCAUUUUUAUUUUUUGUAGAGAUGGGGUCUUGCCGUGUUGCCCAGGUUGGUCUUGAACUCUUGGCCUCAAGCAGUCCUCCUCCAGAGCCUCCCAACGUGUUGGGAUUACAGGCAUGAGCCACUGUGCCUGGCCAGAAAUUGUUUUGAAAGGCUAACCAGUAAAACAUUAACCAAUUUACAAGAGAAAAACAACCCCAUCAAAAAGUGAGCAAAAGAUAUGAACAGACACUUCUCAAAAGAAGACAUUUAUGUGGCCAACAAACAUAUGAAAAAAAGCUCAUCAUCACUGGUCAUUAGAGAAAUACAAAUCAAAACCACAAUGAGAUACCAUCUCAUGCCAGUUAGAAUGGCGAUCAUUAAAAAGUCAGGAAACAACAUAUGCUGGCGAGGCUGUGGAGAAAUAGGAACGCUUUUAUACUGUUGGUGGGAGUGUAAAUUAGUGCAACCAUUGUGGAAGACAGUGUGGCGAUUCCUCAAGGAUCUAGAACCAGAAAUACCAUUUGACCUAGCAAUCCCAUUACUGUGUAUAUAGCCAAAGUAUUAUACAUCAUUCUGCUAUAAAGACACAUGCACAUGUAUGUUUACUGCAGCACUAUUCACAAUAGCAAAGACUUGGAACCGACCCAAAUGCCCAUCAAUGAUAGACUGGAUAAAGAAAAUGUAGCACAUAUACACCAUGGAAUACUAUAAAGAUAUAAAAACAGAUGAGUUCAUGUCCUUUGCAGUGACAUGGAUGAAGCUGGAAACCAUUGUUAUCAGCAGACUAACACAGGAACAGAAAACCAAACACCACAUAUUCUCAGUUAUAAGUGGGAGUUGAACAAUGAGAACACAUGGACACAGGGAGGGGAACAUCACACAACGGGGCCUGUUAGUGGAGUAGGGGGCUAGAGGAGGGAUAGCAUUAGCAGAAAUACCUAAUGUAGAUGACAGGUCGAUGGAUGCAGCAAAUCACCAUGGCACGUGUAUACCUAUGUAACCUGCACGUUCUGCACAUGUAUCCCAGAACUUAAAGUAUAAUUUAAAAAAAAGAAAAAAAAGUAAAAAAAAAUCAACAAAUCAGCAAACUACACAGAAGAAUAUUAGAACAAUUUCUCUCAAAUUUCUCUUCCAUUGAGCUUCCUGCCUGACCCUAGAGCUCCCUCACCUCUUUGGCUUACCAGCUCCCAUCCUUCAAAGUUUCUUAGUUUUCUGUGGGGAGUUUGAGCUACUCUUCCUUUAGGUCCAGGCCAUCUCAGCUAGGUCCAGAGAGCCUCACUCACCUCCCCAACUAAGCAAACAUCCCUGGAGGUAUGUUCUUCAUGCAAGGGCAGUUCCUGCUCUGAGAGAAUUUGUUUGGUUAGCUCAUAAAGGGAUUAUAUUCUUCUCCCCUGCACAUGAGACAGAGUAGCUGAAGUCUACUGACUUUAAUGAAAUUCUCUGUGAAGAGUCUGGGAGGGACGGUUUAGGUAAUCCAUCUACAAGGGUGCUCAGAGUUUGGAGAGAAGCGAUUGGUGUCAUUAUGAUGGCAUUCUAUGGCACAGUACUUACAGUGCACCAGCCACUCUUUUAAAGACUUCUCAAGUGUUCAUUCAAUUCUUACCACAACCCUGUGAGGGACUUCCUGUUAUUGUCUCCAUUUUACCAAUGAGGAACCUGAAGCAGAGAAGUUAACUACUUUGCCGAAGUUUCUUUCCUCCUUUGAGGAUAAGGAGCCAAAGGUUCAGGAAUGCCCAAAUCACAUCCCUCUUCUUGUCCAACCACCCAACCCCUCCACAGGCAACCUGAUCAGCCACCUUUAUGCAAAGUACAGUAUUCAGAUUGGAAUAAAAAUAUAUCUCCUUGACUCCCUGCUCUGAGAGGUAUUUCCUCUCAGACUCCCAAAAGCUGGAUUGAGGAACAUGGCUUAGUUGGUACAGUAUAGCAAAAUGUCUGCUUGUUGAAACUGAAUUUGUGAUUAUCUUCUUUUUCCCCAAGAAGUCAUUGAGGGCUGUUGUAUCCCUAUAAAAGAAGAAUUUAGAAUAGCCAAAAAAAGGGGGGGUGAAGUAGUCUCAUUACAGAAAAAGAGAGUGUGAGCAGCCUUUUAGUAGUUGAUUGCCUCAAGAUGUGGUAUUCAGCCAGGGUGAAGGGAAAGUAGUUGGGGAUGUGGAUCUGGAGGUUUACAGAAGCCUUUACCCAUCCUGAGACUCCGUCCUGCUGUUGGUCUUCGGAGAAGUGUCUGCACCUGCUGAGAAGAAAUCACACCACUGCACUCCAGCCUGGGCAACAGAGCGAGACUCUGUCUCAAAAAAAAAAAAAAAAGAGGAAAUCAGCAGACAUGUAAAUUUGUACAAAAACUAAUAAACCUCUGGAAAAAUGGACUCAGAAUAAAGACAUGUACAAAUGAAAAAUAUUUGGAAUGUGCACUAAAUGCCACUGAAUUGUACACUUUAAAAUGGUCAAAAUGGUGAAUUUUUUGUAACUUUUACCCCAAUGAAAGUUUUGGAACAAAAAGGGGAGAUAGAACUAUGGGUAGAAUACAGAAGAAUCAGGCCAGGGAUGGUGGUUCACACCUGUAAUCCCAGCACUUUGGGAGACUAAGGCGGGAGGAUCACUUGAGGCCAGGAAUUUGAGACCAGCCUGGGCAACAGAGUGCGAUUGCCAUCUCUACCAAAUAUAUAUAUUCAUAUAUUCAUAUAUAUAUAUAUUCAUAUAUUCAUAUAUAUUCAUAUAUUCAUAUAUAUAUUCAUAUAUUCAUAUAUAUUCAUAUAUAUUCAUAUAUUCAUAUAUAUUCAUGUAUUCAUAUAUAUAUUCAUAUAUAUAAAUCAUACCAUUUGAUGUGAUAUCUAGUAAUUGCUUUAAAAUACUCCAUCAAAAUGUGGGGGAUGAGACAAAUUAUGCAACAUAUUGAUAAUUCUUGAAGCUGAGUGAUGGGUACAUGGGGAUUCAUCAUUAUUUUCUGUAAUUUCAUGUGGGUUUGGAAAAUUCCAUUGAAAAUGUUAAAAACAACCCGCUCCUCCUGCCAAAUCAUUUGAAAACUUAAUUUGGGGAGUUUCUUAGAGCUGAAUUGACCUUUAAAUAUUAUUAAGUAUUAAAGUCUCUAGUAGCUCAGAGUUAAAGGGUAUUCCCAGCAAGUUUAAGAGAUGAGGAAGGGCCCUGAAUGUGAGCCAGAGCUACUAAAGUAGGAUGUGCCACAGGUCACCUCUCUUUCUGCUCUGGUUCCUGUGAAACAUAGUGCUUGUUCCAGUAACGUCACCUCUAGGAAUGUAUCCUCAGGAAAUAAUUGUUCAUAUGUGCAAACCUGUGUGUGAAUAAGGAUGCUGUUCUCAGUGGGUUUAUAACAGUGAAACAAGGAAACAAGGUAAUGAAUGGCUCUAAAGAGGCUGGUUUAAUAAAUCAUGGAUACAAGUAAAUAAUUGGAUUUAAUGCAGUUAUAAAAAAUAAUCUAAACACCUUGGACCUCAGUUGCCUGGUUUUUAAAUGAAGAAAGCCAGAGAAGAAUUGUAUUCCUCAACUAGUUUUAGGAGGCCAGCAAAUCUUUGAUACCAAUAUCUCACAAAGACAUUAUACAGAAAGGAAAAUUAGAGGUGAAUCUCUCUUACAGACAUAGAUCUAAAAAUCCUAAACAAAAUAUUAGCAAUUGAAUCCAGCAAUAUAUAACAAUUGUAAUAAAUCAGGACCAAAUCUUGUUUAUUUCAGGAAUGCCUGGUUGGUUUAUUAUUAGAAACCCAAAUAAUGUAAUUUAGCAUUUUAACUAAUAAAUGAGAAAAAAGCAUAGAUAAUAGAUACAGAAAAAGCAUUUCAUAAAAUUCAGCAUCCAUUGAUUAUUUUAAAAACUUAUGGUAAAUUAGGAAUGGAAGGAAACAUUUUUAAACUGAUAAGUGGUAUUUACUAAAAACCUGCAGCAAGCAUCCACUUAAUGUUGGUUCAGGAAUAAGACAAGAAUGUCUCUUCUGACUACUUGUUGUACUCUAGGUCCCAGUCAAUACAGUAAGGUAAGAAAAAGAAAUGUAUAUGGAUUGGGAAAGAAGAAAUAAAACUACCAUCAUUCACAGAUGACAUGCUUGUGUAUGCAGAAAAUUCUAAGGAAGCUACAGAUUAAAAUUAUUAAGAGAGAUUAGCAAAGUCAGUAUACAAUAUCAACAUCAAAAGACCAGUUAUAUUUCUAUAUACCAUCAACAAGCACUUAGAAAAUGAAAUUUAAACCAAUAUUUAAUUUAUAGUAGUAUACACAAUUACCUUGAACUAAAUGUAAUAAUAGACGUACAAAACCUCAAGCAAAAGUUAUGAAGCUUUGUUGACAAUGUCAAGUGUUUGUGAGGAUGUGGAGCAACAGGAACUCUCAAACACUGACGGUGGAAGUGGGAAUUGGUACAACUUUGGUAUACAGUUUGGUGGUAUCUAGUGAAGUUGAAAAUAUACACAAUCUAUGAGCCAGCAAUUCCUCUCCUACAUAUAUACCUUGUGUGUGCACAUAUGUACCAGGAGACAUUAAAAACAUGUUCUUAACAACAUUUUUCAUAAUUGUCCCAAACUGGAAACAGCCCAAAUGUCCAUCGACAGUAAAAGGAUAAAUAAUUUCUUGUAAAGUCAUAGAAUGGAAAGCUGUAACACAAUACUGAGAAUGAUGAACCAAUGCUGCAUGCAACCAGGUUGAAUCUCAGAAUCAUAAUUGUAAGGGCAAUGAGCUGGAUAUAGAAGGAUAUAUGCAUUAUAGUUCUAUUUAUAUAAAGCUCAAGAAACAAUAGUGUUUGGGCAUCUAUAUUUGAGUGGUAAAGCUAUAAAGGAAAGUAAGAAAGCAACAGCCAAAACUGUCAUGAGAGUGUUUUGUUUUGGAGAGAGGAAAGAGGUUGUGAUUGGGCAAGGACUUACAAGAAUUUCUAGAGUUCUGGUGUGUUCUGUUUCUUGAUCUUUAUGGUGAUUUGCUUUAUAAUAAUUUGUUAAGCUGUAAAUUCAUAUUUUAUGCACUUCCCCCCCCCCCCCACUUAGAGUGUUUUACAAUGUGGAAAUGUUAAGAUCUAUCUCAGGGCUUGUUGUAAGAGUGAAAUGAAGUAUAAAGCCAUGUAGAGCUUGUAGAAUAUGCCUGGCACUUUGUAAGACCUUAGUAAAUGUUAUCUAUCUAAACACAA